UAAAAGAGAAGUAAAUAAGGGCGUAUGGGGAAUGCCUAGGCUCUCAGAGGCGAAGAAGGACGUGAUAAGCUGCGAAAAGCUGCGGGGAUUGGCAAAUACGAAUUGAUCCGCAGGUGUCCGAAUGGGGCAACCCACCAUGCUGAAGGCGUGGUACACCGCAAGGUGAGCAAACCCAGGGAACUGAAACAUCUAAGUACCUGGAGGAAGAGAAAACAAUAGUGAUUGCGCCAGUAGUGGCGAGCGAACGCGCAAGAGCCCAAACCUACCCAGUUACGGCUGGUUAGGGGUUAUAGGACCACAUAAUUGAGUUACAAAAAAAUUGAACGGUAUGGGAAAGCCGGCCACAGAGGGUGAUAGCCCCGUAAAUGUAAAUUUGUAAUAAGAGGUGGUAUCCUGAGUAGGGCGGGGUCGGAGACGCCCCGUUUGAAUUUGCCGGCACCAUCCGGUAAGGCUAAAUACUACUGAGAGACCGAUAGUGAACCAGUACUGUGAAGGAAAGGUGAAAAGAACCGUGAAUAACGGGGUGAAAUAGAACCUGAAACCGUACGCCUACAAGCGGUCAGAGCUCCUUCGUGGAGUGAUGGCGUGCCUUUUGCAUAAUGAGCCUACGAGUUACUGUCACUGGCGAGGUUAAGGACUUUGAAGUCCGCAGCCGGAGCGAAAGCGAGUCUGAAUAGGGCGCAUAGUCAGUGGGAGUAGACGCGAAACUUUGUGAUCUACCCUUGGUCAGGAUGAAGUGGGGGUAACACCCCAUGGAGGUCCGAACUAGUAAACGUUGAAAAGUUUUUGGAUGAACUGAGGGUAGGGGUGAAAGGCUAAUCAAACUGAGAAAUAGCUCGUACUCCCCGAAAUGCCUUUAGGGGCAGCGUGGAAGUUAAGUUUAAUAGAGGUAGAGCUACCAAUAGGACUAGGGGGAGUCACAUCCUACCAAAUCCUGAUGAACUCCGAAUGCUAUUAAAUAUAUUCCGCAGAGAGGGCAUGGGUGCUAAGGUCCGUGUCCGAGAGGGAAAGAACCCAGACCAACAGCUAAGGUCCCCAAAUCUACACUAAGUUGAACUAAGGUGGUCCAGUUGCUUUGACAGCCAGGAUGUUUGCUUGGAAGCAGCAAUUCAUUUAAAGAGUGCGUAACAGCUCACUGGUCGAGCGACAGGGCAUCAAUAAUAAUCGGGCAUUAAGUGUAGUACCGAAGCUUUGGAUAGUAGUAAUACUGUGGUAGGGGAGCAUUCUAUUCAGCGGAGAAGUCGUCUGGUAAUGGACGGUGGAGCGGAUAGAAAAGCAAAUGUAGGCAUAAGUAACGAUAAGACGGGUGAGAACCCCGUCCACCGAUAGACUAAGGGUUCCGCGGCAAUGUCAAUCAGCCGCGGGUAAGUCGGGUCCUAAGGCAAAGCCGAAAGGCGAAGUUGAUGGCCAACUGGUUAAUAUUCCAGUACUACCUUAUUGAGCGAAGUGGAGAAGGAGCAGUGACAACUCCGCGCCCUGACGAAAGUGGGCGUUGAAAGGCGUAGGUAUAUCAGAUAUAGGCAAAUCCGUAUUUGAUGCUGAAACCCAAUAGUACGAGGAGGCUUCGGCCGAAUUGAUAGAGAGUGUAAUCAGACUUCCGAGAAAAUCCGCUAGCGUUAAUUGAUAAGGUACCCGUACCGCAAACCGACACAGGUAGUCAAGGAGAGAAUCCUGAGGUGCUCGAGUGAGUCGUGGCUAAGGAACUAGGCAAAUUAACCCUGUAACUUCGGGAAAAGGGGUGCCCUUCAGCAAUGGAGGGUCGCAGAGAAAUGGCCCAGGCGACUGUUUAACAAAAACACAUGGCUAUGCGAAAUCGAAAGAUGAGGUAUAUGGCCUGACACCUGCCCGGUGCUGGAAGGUUAAGGGGGGAAGUUAGUGCGCAAGUGCGAAGCUUUGAACUGAAGCCCCAGUAAACGGCGGCCGUAACUAUAACGGUCCUAAGGUAGCGAAAUUCCUUGUCGGGUAAGUUCCGACCUGCA
This 1979-nucleotide ribosomal RNA is filed under the name Pseudomonadota bacterium. Its description in RNAcentral is "Proteobacteria bacterium partial 23S ribosomal RNA". It matches the Rfam family "Bacterial large subunit ribosomal RNA", at positions 1 to 1992 of the family's 2925-position model. Lineage: Bacteria; Pseudomonadati; Pseudomonadota. The record is from RNAcentral. RNAcentral also lists the same sequence under 1 other name.